UUAAAACUUUCAACAACGGAUCUCUUGGCUCUGGCAUCGAUGAAGAACGCAGCGAAAUGCGAUAAGUAAUGUGAAUUGCAGAAUUCAGUGAAUCAUCGAAUCUUUGAACGCACAUUGCGCCCGCCAGUAUUCUGGCGGGCAUGCCUGUUCGAGCGUCAUUA
RNAcentral lists this ribosomal RNA (161 nucleotides) under Fusarium sp. F135. RNAcentral describes it as "5.8S ribosomal RNA". It matches the Rfam family "5.8S ribosomal RNA". Rfam says of the family: 5.8S ribosomal RNA (5.8S rRNA) is a component of the large subunit of the eukaryotic ribosome. It is transcribed by RNA polymerase I as part of the 45S precursor that also contains 18S and 28S rRNA. The record is from RNAcentral. Lineage: Eukaryota; Fungi; Ascomycota; Sordariomycetes; Hypocreales; Nectriaceae.